RNAcentral lists this non-coding RNA (30 nucleotides) under Mus musculus (house mouse). The record is from RNAcentral. Lineage: Eukaryota; Metazoa; Chordata; Mammalia; Rodentia; Muridae.
UGGAUGCUCACAGUCAGCUAAUGGAUGGAU